AAUAACAUCCUGAGAAGGGUACUGUGCUGGUUUGAAUGAGAAUGGCCUUCAUCAACUCAGAUAUUUGAAUGCUUGGUCCCCAGUUACUGGAACUGUUUGGGAAGGAUUAGGAGGUAUGGUCUUGGUAGAGGCAAUAUAUCAGUGGGGUGGGCUUUGAGGUUUAAAAGAAAAAAACACAGCCACUCCCAGUGACUCUGCCUUGUGGUUCUAUCUCAAGAUGUGAACUCACAGCAACUUCUCCAGUGCCAUGCCUGCCCACCUGCUGCCAUGCUGUCUGCCAUGACAGCCCGAAACUAUGAACCUCAAGUACAUUCUUUCUCCUAUAAGUUGCAUUGGUUGUAGCAUCUCAUCAUAGCAAUAGAACAGUAACCAAGACAGUUGGUGAGGAAACACCAACUCCAAGAAGGAGAAACACAGCUGGACGUAGAACAGUGGUGAGUGAGAACUGUCGCCACGGAGAGCAUCGAGUUUCGAAUUUUCUGCUUCACUUCCACCAAGAGUGGUGCUGAAUCUAUGAGAGCUUCAGGCAAGCAAGCUCCAGAAAGUGAAAGGGGGUAGCAGAAAGAUUAGAGACUGCAUAUAUCUAAAGAGGAGGGAAAGGGGCAAAAGAUGGAGAGAGCCAGGGAGACAGGUCAGUGGGUGAAAGCACUUGGAGAGGAAGCCUGACCCUACUGAGUUCUGGGGAGAACACACAUGGUGGAAGGAGAGAACCAGCUCCUGCUGUCCUCUGACCUCUGCAUACGCUGUGGAGUAGAUGUGCCGCACCCAUACACACAGUGGUAGAGCACAUGCACAGUAAGAAGAAAUUUAAACAAUGCAAAGACAAGGAAUGCUUCUAAGCUGAUUCAUGGCACCAAUACUUGGGUCUGGCUAUAACGUAGUAGUAGAAGGCAUGCUUAGCAUGUGAGGGCCUGGGUUCCGGGUAAAAAGAAUAAAAAAUAAAAUAAGAUACAUAAAAUUGAAUAAAAUAAAAUUAAAUUGAACCAAGUUCACCCAUAACUGAGACAGAAAUUCCUUGAGAACAGAAGGGAAUGUGUGCCCUCUGUGCAGCUGCAUGUUUAACAUUUAUGGAGGUGGAAGACGGCAUUAGAAGAUACACAUAAAUCUCUAAGUCAAGUUAAUGUAGUGCAGGGUGGGUACAGAAGAAAGAGGAAGGUGUUUUCCAGAAGCUCACUUGUGUUUGGGUCUUCACCAAAGCAAUAUUAUUCAGGGGAACCCACAGUGAGAAAAUAAAGUGUUACGGAAGAAAUUUCAUAAACUACCAAGUUCUCAUGGUUUAGCAGAUAACCGCUGUUAAAUUGAAGAGUAGCUUCGCCGGUAAUGGGAAAGCACAGCUGCGAAAAAAAAUCUUGGUGACCAAGACUAACGCUUUUCAAAAUAUUUUUGCAACAGCAUCUUGAUUACGAAAUGGUGGUGUGAGAAGUAAGUUUCUCCCAUAGUCUCUGGCAUUUCAAGAUCAUGGUGUUCCGAUAGGUUGGAAGGUGUGGCCCUGCUGAAUGCCCACCCCACUCCCCGUUUGCCCACUGUGCAUCACUCUUUGUGUCUCGGAUGUGAGCUCUCAGCUUUAUGAUCUUUCCACCAUGCCUGCCUGCUGUCAUGCCUCCCAGCCAUGACAGACUUUUAUGUCUCUGGAAUUAUAAGUCCAAAACACUCUUCCUUCUAUAACUCACUUCCAGCCAUGGGGUUUUGCCACUGUAAUAGGAAACUAACUAACACAGAGCAAUGGUGUGUUAAGAUUUCCAACUCAGGCUGGAAGUGUGGUUGAGCAGUGAGGAGCACUCAGCAGUUGGCUGCGUUUCGGCUCAGGACUUGGGUUUGGUUUCCAGCACUCACCUUGUGCCUCAAAAACGUACUGAAGUUCAGUUUCCAGGAAUUAUAUAGCCAUUUCAGGUCUCCACAGCACUGCACUGUGCAGAUUACAUGCAGUGCAAUUACAUGUAUAAGGACCUCAAAAACAUUUCUAAUUUAGCAACCUGGAGUCCCCUCUGCUCUGGUCUGCACACCAGGGUUCUGCAGUCUAGACAACUCCGUGAGUAUUCUCCCACAAGGUGCCAUGAUGCUGAGGGCCUUGGUUGUUACUCAUUUAUUUUGAUCUUUGAGAGACCAAAUCUUUUGGGUUCAGACUCCACCUUAGAGAACCUGACCUAAGGUUAAGCUCAAGUUAACUAACAGGCUGGUACCCAGCACCAGUUUAUACGUCACCCCCAUAGACAAGACCUAUGUCUAGCACCAAUUUCUCAACAAAUCUGCACCCCCAGGUUACAAGCCUGCCCCUGAUACUUCGCUUCCUAAUAACCACCAAUCAGGAGGAAAGCAGAAGUUAAGUUUAUGGUUUGGCUCCCAGGACCAGCCAAUUAUGUUAAAGGCCAUAAUGGCUCCCUUAUCAGCAUCUAUAAAUGCUUGCCUAAAACUAGGCUCAGGGCUCCACCUUCCUGCUGUGUCAGGGUUGGUGGGGAGCCCAAGCUGGAGCUUGAAUAAAGAGAGUCUAAUGCGAUUGCAUUGAAGUCAGCUCCUUAGUGGUCUUUUGGGGUUCACGAACGCUUCCUGGUACAACAUCUUCACUGUGACAGGUGUUCCCUGAUUAAGAAGAAGUCUAGGAAGAAGAUGCUGUGACCCCUGUGUUUCCCAGCCUGAUAAAGUGUCCUGAAUUUGGAAGAAAGCAGCUUCUUGCAGAAAGACCUCCACUGGGUUCUAGGGCAUUCGGGUGCAGCCUUCUGUUCUGUUCUGUUCUGUUCUGUUCUGUUCUGUUCUGUUCUGUUCUGUUCUGUUCUGUUCUGUUCUCUGUUCUGUUGUCCCCAAGGGCUCAUCAAACAGCAGCAUCCAGAGAAAAAGAAAGAGGAGACAGAAAUUGGAGCUGAAGAGACCCUAGACUUGGGACAAAGAGCAACUCGAAGGCUCCAGGCUCCACAAAUGACAAAGUGCUUGAGGUUACAGAAAGAAGACUCAUAUUCUUGAGUCGUCUUGAGAGACUCAAGAGUAGAAAAUCCAAAGUGUACCUGGUGAAUUUCUCUACCUCCUCCAACCCAGAAUUCAACUGAGUUUGGAAUAUUCUAGAUUCUACUAAUGAAGGAAGAAAAAGACGGUUCCAAGACUGCGCGUUGCUCAAGGACACUAGGAAACCAUUCAAAGUACCUUACAACUGAAGUUCAAUAAAUAAAUUAUAAAUAAA
Long non-coding RNA from Rattus norvegicus (Norway rat), 3169 nucleotides. RefSeq lists it as uncharacterized. The record is from RefSeq and is a predicted model, not a curated record. Lineage: Eukaryota; Metazoa; Chordata; Mammalia; Rodentia; Muridae.